RNAcentral lists this ribosomal RNA (467 nucleotides) under uncultured bacterium. RNAcentral describes it as "bacterial SSU rRNA". It matches the Rfam family "Bacterial small subunit ribosomal RNA", at positions 355 to 825 of the family's 1533-position model. The record is from RNAcentral.
UAGGGAAUAUUGGACAAUGGGUGAGAGCCUGAUCCAGCCAUGCCGCGUGCAGGAAGAAGGCGUUAUGCGUUGUAAACUGCUUUUUGCCAGGGGAUAAAAAGACCGUGCGCGGUUAAUUGAAGGUACCUGGUGAAUAAGCCACGGCUAACUACGUGCCAGCAGCCGCGGUAAUACGUAGGUGGCAAGCGUUGUCCGGAUUUAUUGGGUUUAAAGGGUGCGUAGGUGGCCCUGUAAGUCAGUGGUGAAAUAUCUCAGCUUAACUGAGAGGGUGCCAUUGAUACUGCAGGGCUUGAGUACAGAUGAGGUAGGCGGAAUUGACGGUGUAGCGGUGAAAUGCAUAGAUAUCGUCAAGAACACCGAUAGCGAAGGCAGCUUACCAAGCUGUAACUGACACUGAGGCACGAAAGUGUGGGGAUCAAACAGGAUUAGAUACCCAUGUAGUCCCUGAGCGGGCUGGCAAGGCGCAU